This 25523-nucleotide long non-coding RNA is filed under the name Solanum tuberosum (potato). RNAcentral describes it as "long non-coding RNA (STUB_LNC009413)". The record is from RNAcentral. Lineage: Eukaryota; Viridiplantae; Streptophyta; Magnoliopsida; Solanales; Solanaceae.
UCAAAUGACAAGUUUGUAAGUGCAAUUCAUAGAUUUGUAGCAACUAAGGUAGGACCAAGGAUUUCUGUGGCAUGCUUCUUCAGUUCGGUAUCUCCAAAGAUGUUUGGUCCAAUCAAAGAGCUCAUAUCGGAAGAAAAGCCCCCACUAUAUAAAGACUUUCUAGUAGCUGAUUAUCUUGCUAAAUUUUUCUCCAAACCUCUUGAUAAGACUGGUCUUGAUCUUUUCAGACUGUGAAUAGAGACCGAGCACAACGUCACCAAGCAGCAGCAAAAACUAUCAGAAAAGACUAUCAUCAUUCAGACAGAACAAUGUCAGAGUUUGUGGUAAAUCUCAAGAACAAACUCCCUUAUGUGUCCUUCAAUUUGUUCCUCUAAUAAUGCAUGUACUAUUUCUCCUAGUAUCCCUAGCUAUCUUAUUUUCGCUACUUCAAUUGUAAUUCUGUCGUUGAAGUAUCAAUUUCAUUGCUAUUUGUUACAGUUUUCCACUUCAAUCCCUCUCUGUUGAGUGUUAUUGCCAAUUAUCCACAAUAAUACAUUAACAUAUCUUAAACUCCAAUUUUUUUUAUAAUCCAAACUAUUUUCCUUUUAUUUCACCUUAUACUUAGGCCUUUUGAGAUAGUAUAGGGACAUUUUCGGCCCUUUUCAGUUUACAGAAUUAUGAUUCAAAAAAUCAUAAUAUAUAAUUGAUAAAUUAAUUUAGUGAAGUCAAACUUCAUUAAUUUUCGACUAUAGUUAUAGAGAACUAUAAAUGGCUGGUAUAAUUGAUUAAUAGUAUCCAAAAGGAUCCACAAUAACUUGUUAUAUAUGGAUAUUUAGCUGACUUUACAUGUUUAUUUGAUCAAUCAAUUAAUAAUUAGGAGGAACUGGUCUCACAUCUUGAUUGUUAUGAUAAUGUACCACAGAAUUUAUGUACUUGCUCAAGAUCAGAACGAGCUUGUCUGCUGACCACUAUCGUCCCAUUUUGGAGCGCAACCAUCUUGUCCGUUGAACUAGCUAGAAGCUAUCAAUUUAGAUUGAAAUGGAUUAUGAUCCAUCGGAUGAGAGAAAGGCUAUUGAUGAUACAAAAGCUGGUGUUAAGGGACUACUUGACUCUGGAAUAGUCGAGAUUCCAAGACUUUUCAUUAGGCCACCUCAUGAACUUGCUGAUGAGUUGAAUAUGUGCAAGUCAACUCUACAGGUUCCAGUCGUGGAUCUAAGUGGCAUAGAGGUUGAAGAUCGGCGUAAGAAGAUUGUUGAUGAAAUAAGGGAAGCAUAUGAGAAAUGGGGAUUUUUCCAACUGAUAAAUCAUAGGAUUCCUUCAAGUAGUUUGGAAGGAAUGAUCGAUGGGACUCGUAAAUCUCAUGAACAAGAUGCUGAAGUGAAGAAAGAGUACUAUUCGUCUGAUGCAACAGCCAUAAGAGUUUGUUGGAAUGUAUGCGUCCACUAUUAGUCUACGGAUCAGGUCCCUUGACUCAGCAAGAACAGUAGCUGAAGUAAAGAUGCGGAAAAUACAUAGCACAAUAUAAAGACAGGCACAAGAGUUUUACGUGGAAACCUCCUUGCUCACGAAUUUAUUUACUUUUAAAAAAAAGAAAAUGUAUAUAAAGAUAAAGACCCAAAAAAAGAAGAAGAUAAAAUCUAAUAAAUUCCAUGUUUAUCUAACUUCCCAUUUAAAUUUGAAAAUUUGCUUAAAGGAUAAUCAAAUACGGUUUAAUUUAAAUCUGGAAAAAAAAAAACAUAUCUAAAAAUGGUUUUUUUCAAAUAUGUAACCACCUUUUAUUUUUGAAUUUGUCACGCCCCGAGCCUACACCCUGGACGUGGCCGGCACUCGAAGACCAUUGCUGGCCCCCAAGCGAACCCUUGGCCUGACUUUCUUAACUCAGCGGAAACCUACUCAACAGAAUAACUCAAUGCCAUGCAAAGACAUAACCAACUUAAAUGAUACACAUUUGGCCAAAAAGGCAACUCGAGUCUCAAAAUAGAAUAUUACAUAUAUACAUAAAUGAGAGUCUCAAAACUAACUGACUGACUGUCUAUAAAGCCUCUAAAAUACUGAGAUGGAUGUUGAGACAGACCCCACAACAUCCUAAUAAAACAAAACUAAGAGAACAAAAUAACCGAGUCCUCCGGAAUGCAAAAAGGCUCACCACUGACUCUGAAGUACUCAGCUGGAUCAAUGACGAACCGGAUACUGACCCUGGGUACCUGCGUCUGCAUCGUCAUAAGAUGCAGGUCAACUAGCAUCAGUACAUUGAAUGUACGAGUAUGCGAGUUGGAAAGCUAAACCACAACUUAAGCUUGAAAGGAGUACAAAGGAACUCUUACCUUGGCUCUGUUCAACUCAUAAAUAACUGAACUCAAUAUAUAAAGCAAUAAGACACAUGCAAUAUAUAAAGCUUGUAAAACUAUUAAAACAUGACUUAAAAUCAUAUUUAUAAUAUCAUAAAAAUACCAUGCUGCCUCUCAAAGUCUACUUGUGCAAUGCAUGAAUGAAGUCCCAUACCCCCAUCCACACUAAGCAGAACUUCUCAAGGAACCAUGCACUUUCUACUGCUACGGGAGUUUCUCUAACCGACAACCACCACUAUGAAACUAAGUGGUGAUACAACGUUUUACCUCACGUUGCCCAAGGACCAUCCUAUACCUUGCCAUCGAUAUAGGACCUUACUUUAACUUUUGCUUAAUGGAUCCACUAGCUUAACUUUCGUGAUCAUCUAAAAAGUAUGAUCCGACAAAUCCCAUGGUUGGCUACAUGGUUCUUAUGGAGAGUUGAGUUAAUAAGAACUCGUGUCCCCAAUUCGGUGCUCAAGACUACUCCCAAAAAUACUUUAGCUUCUUUGGGAAUACAUAGUUCCCUAAUAACUUUUGAGAAAUGAACUCAACUCUAUACUCUUGACUUAACUUGAAACUCUUGACUCCUUACUCUUUACUUGACUUGAAACUUGAGCCUUAAAAUGAAGUUAAAACAUUCAAUAAAGACUCUUGAACAACUUUAAAGACUUGCUUUGACUCACUUCUUUAACUUCUAGACUUAACUCUUAACUUCACUUGACUUGGAAAUUAACUCUCCUUGAAUUGGAAUUAUGGAUUCAAGGUGUUUGAUCACAUGUUAUGGACGAGUUCUUGACAUUUAGACGUACCUUGGAGCGUUGAAAACAACUAUGAAACAUAGGUACAAUACCAAGGAACAUGCAUGAGAAAGUGUGAAAAGAAUGGGGAAACUUGGCAUCCUUCACGCUUUGCAAGGCGCGGAGCGCCAGCCCUCGAAGCUCAAUAGGACUGCUGGGGCGCACUGCUAGGCGCGGCGCCCCAAGGGAGAAAGCUCAAAAGCUCUUUUGGGGUGCGCUGGAAGGCGCGACACACCACCCCUUUCCCCAGAAAACUCUACUUUUCUUCUUCAUUUUUCCAACUGUAAACCUCCUUAACUUCAUUGGUUCCAGCCCCAAACACUUAUAAUCAUAAACCCUUCAACAUACAAUAGAUUUCAACUCAAAAACACAACCGGAAACAAGUCCCAAAUCAACAAGGACUUCAACACAAUCACAACCAACAACUUCAACAAAUACAACCAACAGCUUCAAGAAACAUAAUCAAUCUUUUCUCGGAAUUGAAUGAGUUUGGCGUGUGGGGGAAAGAACCAACCCAACACUAUGAUCUCACAUACCUAAUAGGGAUCACCCCCGACGAUAUCCACGACGAUCCUUAACGAAACCUUGUUUGAUCUUCUCUUUCUCCUCUUCUUCUCCUCUUCACUCACAAACCCUCACUCUCACUCUUUAAAAUGAGAAAAACUGAUCAAAAUCAGUCUAACACACUAAUAUAUAUCCAACAGAAAAGGCUAGGGAAAAGACCAAAAAUACCCUUACAAAUUUCCGGACAGACUUCCCUGCCAACUGCCCAACUUCCAAGGCAUAACUCACUCAUACGAACUCGAAAUCGAGCAAACUCAGCGGCAUUGGAAAGACCAUUCCACGAAAUUUGCAAACAUAACUGGAACUACACCUAACUCAUCCUGAGCUAGGAGUUAUAACUGUUCAAAGUUGGCCAAAAACUCAUUUUUUUCCCAUACUUAACCAAAUUUCCAGAUCUUUAAUUCCUUCCAAAAAAAAUGACUAUUUCCAAUUCUAAGCCUCUUCAUAGUUAUUUCAAAUUGCCAGAUGUUACANNNNNNNNNNNNNNNNNNNNNNNNNNNNNNNNNNNNNNNNNNNNNNNNNNNNNNNNNNCCACCUACUUUAUCCAUUUGCUUCAUUCAUUCUAUAAAUAAAUGUCUUCUUUUUUCAGAAAAAAAUUAUUUAUCCUUUAGAACAAUCAUUUUUCAGAGUGAGAAAUUCAUCUUCAAUGCAUAAAUGUAUUGCUUCAAGCAGUGAAUUAUCAUAUGCAUUAAUUUAAAAUCAGGUAUGAAAAACUAUCCAAGAUUUUUUUAAAUUACAUACCAAAAAUGUGGACUUCUAUCAACUAUCAAUAUGGUUGAUAGUUGUUACAAUUGAUUAAUUAUUUAUUGUCUAUUGUUCUUCUUCUAAUAAAAUAAUAGUUUGAAAGGAAAAAUUGUUGUAUAAAGGAGUAUGGGUGGUCGUUGAUUAUUUAUAUUAUAAUUAUUAUAAUUAUAAUAAAUAUAAUUCUUUAUUUAUCCUGUGAGUUUCUAAUAUAAAAAAUUACCAUGCACUAAAACUGUUUUGUAUCUUGCAGAUUUGAGUUGAUGUGAUCCCCGUAACAUGAAAAUGUCAAGUUGAAAGUGGUGGCGUGUGUGUGUGUGUGUUUGUGUGUAUAUUGUUUUUGUGAGGAAAUCUACUAUGUCAUUUGUUAAAUUUACAAGUACUAAUUUUUCAGACUUAUUUUAAUUAAAGAAGAAAAGUUUUACAAUUUAUGGGGAAAAAGUCAUUCUAAUGAUAAGAUUGUACAAUUGAAUUCACGCUACAUAAAAUAAAAUUAAGAAGAAUCAAAACAAUUUUAAGCAACACAUUACCAUUUUAAAUAUUAAUAUAAAUAUAUCAAUAAAAUUGUCAUGAGGUACAAUGUGUUGUAUUCAAUGGUAAAAUUGAAGGAAGAAGUCAUUAACAUUCUUGCUAAGAGUAGGCAAAUCUGAUGUUCACUUCAUAUUACUUUCAAAUUUACAUUUUAAGAGAUUGUGCUAUCGUAUUUUUCAUGUAGGAAANNNNNNNNNNNNNNNNNNNNNNNNNNNNNNNNNNNNNNNNNNNNNNNNNNNNNNNNNNNNNNNNNNNNNNNNNNNNNNNNNNNNNNNNNNNNNNNNNNNNNNNNNNNNNNNNNNNNNNNNNNNNNNNNNNNNNNNNNNNNNNNNNNNNNNNNNNNNNNNNNNNNNNNNNNNNNNNNNNNNNNNNNNNNNNNNNNNNNNNNNNNNNNNNNNNNNNNNNNNNNNNNNNNNNNNNNNNNNNNNNNNNNNNNNNNNNNNNNNNNNNNNNNNNNNNNNNNNNNNNNNNNNNNNNNNNNNNNNNNNNNNNNNNNNNNNNNNNNNNNNNNNNNNNNNNNNNNNNNNNNNNNNNNNNNNNNNNNNNNNNNNNNNNNNNNNNNNNNNNNNNNNNNNNNNNNNNNNNNNNNNNNNNNNNNNNNNNNNNNNNNNNNNNNNNNNNNNNNNNNNNNNNNNNNNNNNNNNNNNNNNNNNNNNNNNNNNNNNNAAAUUUCUUCUUCUUUUUUUAAAAUUUAAUAACUCAAAUUUAUUAUUUAUUAUAAAUUAUAAUAAUAAAUUGAAUUUAAAAAAUAAUAAUUCCUCUUUAGCCAAAAUAAUAAAUUAAAUAAUUUUAAAAUAAUAAUUUAUUUUAAUAUAUAGGCUAACUUAGAAUAAGAAGUAUUCCCUAUUAUAUCUUUUAAUAAUCGUGUAAACUAAAUUGUCAUAAUGUAAAAUUAUUAUAGUAUAAAUAAAAUAUAAUAUUAAAGCUAACGUUGAAUUGUACAUACAAAAUAAAAGACAUAUGGACAAUUUUAUAAAUAUAUGGCUUAUCUUACUAUACUAGAAAUUACAUUUGCAAAUGGAAUAAAAUGAAUGAGAUUCACGUUGAUAAAAGUUUAGGAUGUAGAUUAGUGAGAACGUAUAUAGUCAAGCUUAAUUUGUGUUGUAAUUCUUAUUUCUUUAGCAAUUUAACAAGCUCAGAAGAUUUCAAUAUAAUGAAUGAUAACUUGCAAAGUGUUAUUUUUAGAUUUUCAUCUUGAUCAACUUUAUUUUAUCAUUUCAAAAUUUUCAUUCUAUCAUAUAAAAUCUCUCCACAUGUAUUUUUGAUAUCAUUGCUUUCAAAUUUUGAAUUAAAAUUGAUUUGAAAUGAAUUACCAUGUAUGUUUUCACGUUAUAUUCAUAAUAUCAUGUUGGUGACGUUUAUAAUGUCUAAACUUUUUCUAAUUAAUAUUAUAAAAAAUAUAUUAAUUAUUUAUAGAAAAUUAAUUUAAAAUUUUUAAAACUAUAUCCUACUGUUAUAUACAUGCACUUUUGUUACUCAAUAAUAAUAAUUCAUAUUAAUUAUUUUUAAGUUUAAAAAUUAUUAUAUUUUAAAAUAUCCUCGCAACGCGCGGAUAUGUAUACUAGUAUAAGUAAUCAUUUCAUCUCCGAGUAAUAUUCAUCUAUUUCUCUGGCGAUAUCCACUUGUAAGUUCUUCUUACUUAAUUAUUAUUGUCUUGCUCUAGAUCUCUUCAUCUCACUUUAGCGGUUUGUAAAUUUAAUUUUCAAUUUCAACUCGUUUUAAAACUUUUUAUGUACAUUUACUUGUUUUAAAACUUUUUAUGUACAUUUAUCAUAAUAUAUAAUUGAUAAAUUAAUUUAGUGAAGUCAAACUUCAUUAAUUUUCGACUAUAGUUAUAGAGAACUAUAAAUGGCUGGUAUAAUUGAUUAACAGUAUCCAAAAGGAUCCACAAUAACUUGUUAUAUAAGGAUAUUUAGCUGACUUUACAUGUUUAUUUGAUCAAUCAAUUAAUAAUUAGGAGGAAUUGGUCUCACAUCUUGAUUGUUAUGAUAAUGUACCAUAGAAUUUCUAUGUACUUGCUCAAGAUCAGAACGAGCUUGUCUGCUGACCACUAUCAUCCCAUUUUGGAGUGCAACCAUCUUGUCCGUUGAACUAGCUAGAAGCUAUCAAUUCAGAUUGAAAUGGAUUAUGAUCCAUCGGAUGAGAGAAAGGCUAUUGAUGAUACAAAAGUUGGUGUUAAGGGACUAGUUGACUCUGGAAUAGACGAGAUUCCAAGACUUUUCAUUAGGCCACCUCAUGAACUUGCUGAUGAGUUGAAUAUGUGCAAGUCAACUCUACAGGUUCCAGUCGUGGAUCUAAGUGGCAUAGAGGUUGAAGAUCGGCGUAAGAAGAUUGUUGAUGAAAUAAGGGAAGCAUCUGAGAAAUGGGGAUUUUUCCAACUGAUAAAUCAUGGGAUUCCUUCAAGUAGUUUGGAAGGAAUGAUCGAUGGGACUCAUAAAUCUCAUGAACAAGAUGUUGAAGUGAAGAAAGAGUACUAUUCGUCUGAUCCAACAGCCAGAAGAGUUUGUUGGAAUGUAUGGGUCCACUAUCAGUCAACGGACCAGGUCCCUUGACUCAGCAAGAACAGUAGCUAAAGUAAAGAUGCGGGAAAUACAUAGCACAAUAUAAAGACAGGCAUAAGAGUUUUACGUGGAAACCUCCUUGCUCAAGGGAGUAAAACCACGACUUGUCACACAGGAUUUUCCAACUGUUUUCACUAAUCUUCUCAAGCAAAGGUGAAACACAGAUACAACAUCAAAUGAGAUUAAGCCAUUAAUCUCAAAGCUAAGUAAUAACCCAAUUACUUACUGAGCCUAAGCAGAUACCACACUGCCUACUAAGUUGUCAACCCUAGACAACUUAAAUUUCAACUAAGCAGAUACCACACUGCCCACUAAAUCAGUUAACUCCUAGAUGACUUAGAAUUUGACUAAGGAGAUACAAAACUGCCCACUAAAUUAGUUAACUCUAACCGAUUUGGACUUUUACAAACCGAACAAAAGAUUUGAAUACUUCAUAGAUUACAAACAAAUUUACAAUGUAAGCACGGAAGUAUAACUCCUAAGACAACUAUGACACUUGCAGCUUGAUCAGGUCCCAAUUGCGCCUUUGGGGAAUACUUCAACAAGAUGGGUCUUUGCUUGUGUUCUUGAGAGUUUUCAAGAUGAAAAAACUAAGGUUGUGUCUAUUGAACAUAACCUUUAUGAAUAAUAGACACAACCUUCGAGGCCAUGUUGACACCCAAUUUUGGACCUCCAUAAUAUAGAUUAAUCAUCGAACUUCUUAAAUUUCAAACGAUUUGAAAUAAUUGACUUUAUAAAAUUUAAAAUAUUUUUCAACUCAUUUUAAGUAAUUUUGUAAUUUUUAUAGUUUUUUUUUUAAAAUUAAUUUAUAUAGUCUAUAAAAUUUUGAAUAUAUUUAUUAUAUUUUAUAAAUAUUCGAAAAUCAUCUCAAAAAGAUUUUGUUUUAUUUAAAUAUCUUACUAAUUAGUUUAGUUAUAUAAUAAUUUACAUUUUUGAAUUAAUUAGUUUAUAAUUAAGUCGAUUAUUUUAUUUCGUUAAGAUUAAGAAGUUCAUUAAUUAAUCAUAUUAAUUUGUCACAGCUAAUUAUUAGCCGAAUUUGUCAAUUUUACUUAAUUUGGUUAUUUCUUAGACUCCAAGAUAUAACCUUUUUCACCUUGCCUCAAACCCAUUUUUGGACCCAUUUUGGGCCUAUUAAAAACAGGCCCAUUAUUCAGCAACCCAAUGCCAUUUCCUCAUAUUAGCAGCCCAUUUCCCUUAAUUCUUCAACAAUAACCCAAUCCCAAUCCAUUACAUACAACAACAAAUACAUUACAACACCAAAUACCUGACCGACCCCACACUUCUCCUCCACCAGAAACACUGCAACCCAGCAGCGAAAAUUGCUGAAGUCCAGCAAUUUCAGCAGCUCAGAAUCACGAGCAUCGCGACCCGAGUCCAGCAACGAAGCAAUCCAACGUGUCCCCAUCUUGACGCCUCAUUCGCCCUUAUUUCAAAUCAAGCGCCUCAAAUCGUUGUUCCGUUGAGGAAUUGUACGAUUUUCGUACAGAAAUUCAAGCUGGCUGCCUUAUCCUCAAGAUUUUUGAAUUUCGAAUUUUGAAUCCAUUCCGUUUUCCCCCUCAACCGAACCCUAUUUUCCCCUAUAAAUACCCCUUCUUCUUAUUUGUUUGGGGGUUGGAAAAAGGUUGGAAAAAAGGGGGUUGACGUUUUUCUUUCUAGAAAAAGUUUAGUUUUGCAAAGUAAAGAGGCGGGGAAUAGAUAUAGAAAUCGGAAAGAAUCACACUUGAGAACGGAGAGUAAGAUCAAUUUUUGGAUUCGGUUACACUCUCUUACUCUAUUCAUCGUUCUUCCAAGUUUGUGUAAGCUUGAAGUCGUUGGUAGGAGUGCAUUCUAGUUCGUUUGUCUCAGUUCGCUGCACCGAACAAGGUAAACAACUCGUAAUCCCUUUGUUUAUUUUGAGUUCAUUGUGUUGGUUUGAUAAGUAGCUCUUUGUGGAUUCUAAGAUGAGCUUGGGUGAUGUGUUCGAUCUGUAGUAUUCUCUUCAUCUUAUUUUUACUAAAAUGUUCUUAUGUAUUCGUUUUCUUGAUGAUUUAACAUUGGUGUAAGCUCACAUCGUUGGCUUUGUUCUUUUCGAAUUCAUUGUUGUUAUACUCACCCUAAGUUUGUAUGGCCUGUUUGAUUGACCUCGUUGACAUUGCUCCGUUCGUGUUUGUCAAAUAAUACUCAUUGUUUGUUUCAUGUUUUGAAAGUGUCGAAGGGUUUUGCCUUACUGUUCUUGAGCUAAUUUUCAAGUUUAAGUCACUAUAUUGCCCAAAUCAGUGAAGUGUGGUUUGACCAUGGCUGUUUUUGUGACAUAAAUGAUCCUUACAUUUAGUAUAUUUUUUUUAUAUAGUAUUUUAUUCAAUUUUGUCUACUGUCCUUAGUUGCUGUCCAUGUCUAGUUAAUUUAAGAAUAUUAUGUUUAGGAAAUGUGUGUGUAGUUCCAUUUGUUUGGGAGUAAAACAAAUAGGCAUAAUACAUAUAUUGGCCCCUAAACUUGGCUUCAAAUUUUAACUUUGACCUCCAACUUUCAUAAUGCACAAAUAGGCACUUUAACUAUCAUACCUUUAAAUAAAUAAACACGCGAUUUUUGGAGCCAAAAGCGUGAAAUGCAAACGCUGCCACGUGUAUUAGUGACCCACUCAAUGGCUGCCAACUAUUCAAUGCAUGUGGGCCCGUUUUCCUGUCUAUUUGACACCUUUUCAAAUAAUUUCUCUUUAUUUUUGCCUCACAACUUCUUCCUUCACUUUCAUUUUGUGGUAAAUUAAUAUUUGAAAAUGUCAAUUAUUCAAUUUAUAAUUUAUUUGUCUUAUUUCUUUUUUUAAUUUAUGUGUAUUCAAAGAUUACAUUUAAGAUACUAUAAAUUAUUAGACUUAAUAUUUAAAAAAAUUUAUUACAAAUUUGAAAAUUACGUAAUAUACACUAUUAAUUACAAUAAUUACUAAUUUAAAAUAUUUUUUCAAUCUAAUAAGAGCCUACAAACACACUAUACGUUAUAUUUAAAAGUACUAUAAAUCAUAAUUAAAAUAUAUUUUUUUUAGAAAAUUUUUUGUUGACUCUUGAAAUUCUAUUGGUGACACAUGAAUUUGAAUAGAUGGAACAAUAUAUAUUAUUGAAAGUUAACAAUACUAUAAGUUAUUCGAAAAUGACGUUAAUGAUUUUUAUAAAUUAUAACAAAUUAGCAACUAAAAUAUUUUUGAAAAAACAUACAAAAAAUUAGUUGAUGAAUCAGCCACCACACCGUGGACAUGUAUGCUUUUUGUGAUUAAAAUUGAGUUUAAGGGUUAUUUUGGUCAUUUAAGGAUUUUUCUUUAAACUUCAAGCUUUAUUAAUAGUGAUGUAUUCAUUUUAGAGUUAACAUGAACGUUUACUACCAUAUAAAUAUAUAUAAUUUAUUCAAAUUUAAAAUUUAAAACUAUUUAUUUAACGUCAAUUAAAAAUUAACUUUUCAAUUAAUUAUUAGCACGGGCUCUUCAUCAAUAGUAUAUAAUAUAAUAAGCGGGAAUAGAGAGGACCUUGGGGUCGACACGUGUUCCUUUUUCCUUCUGGACAAAAAAAGACUAUACAGGCAGGAGGUCAACCUGUAAAGAAAAAGGGGGACCCAUAUUUUACUAUUGAAGGAUGUGUGUUUCUUUUAAAUUUCUUUUACCAUACUAAAUAAUUGUAUAAAAUAUUAUAAAUCACGACAAUUAAUUACUUAAAUAUUUAAAAGAUAUAAAAAUAUAUAAAAGAUUUGAUUGACUUUUCAAAUUUUACCGGUGACGCAUAAAUUUGGACAAAUGAAAUAAUAUAUAUUAUUUGAAAAUUUCUUAGAAAGUACUAUAAAUUACAGUAAUUAACAACUAGAAAUAUUUCAAAGACAAAAAAAUUGAUUGAAUCUCAAAAAAAAAAAUUAGUACUACACGUGUUCCUUUUUCCUUCUUGCCAAAAAAAAACUUCAUUAUAAUUUUUUUUUGUAAUAACAAAAUUUUUUAUUAAAUGUCACUUGCAUUUCGUAGUAAACAACAAAUAAUGCAAAAAAGAGGGGUAACAUUGUUAGAAAAAAAUAUAAAAAGGGUUUAAUUGUCCUUUCAAUGCUUUUUUUACUGUUGACCCCCUGAAUUUUUACAUCUAACGCGCCUAAUUUGAGUGUAUUUCACGCAUUUUGCCAGGUAGGAUCCGAGUGUUUUUUUGUUUAAGUUUUGGAUAGUUAAAGUGCCUAUUUGUGCACUUACAAAGUUAAAGGUCAAAAUUAAAAUUUGAAGCCAAGUUUAGGGGUCAAUAUAUGUAUUAUGCCAAACAAAUAUGAAUGAUCCUUUGCAUCCAAAUGAGUUUCUUAUGGGAUGAGACUGCCUGACAUCCCUGUUGCUAUUGAUUUUCCUUUGAUUAAGUUGAAGCCUUGGUCUUGUUUCCGGUAUGAGCUUGAAGUCCGGAUUAAUGGUUGUGCCUGUUUUGAUACUAAUUUCAUAGGACCAUAAGAUAUUUCUACUUUAUUUUGUGUUAUGUCGCUUAAAAGUUUUACCUACUAAGUCAUUUCCUUCUUCUUUUGUUGUGAAAUCCACCGGAGUUCAUCACGAACUCCCUCUCCUUGCAUCUUCUCUUUGGUUCGGCCCAAUGCUUCCCCUUACCGGAUCUGCAAAGCUGGUGUAUAGGUUGAAAGCAGCAAGAUACGGGCUGGAAAUUGAGUUUUCAUAUUUCGGAAACUUGAAAUUAAUCCGAAAUACAGCUUGUAUACAGUGGUAUACGUCAAAUAUGUGACCAAAAACAAAGAUACAGGUUGGAAGCGUCAAAACAAACUGUAUACAGUUGGUAUAUGGGUUGAUAUAUAGGAAAAAGGGCUAAGAAACGACCGAUAUACACUCGUAUACAACAACUGUAUACCAAAAAGGGGAUUGAGCCAAAAGCCCAAAUCAGCAAAGAGUUUGGCCCCAAAAAAGGGAGCCCAAAUUCAUUUCCCCUUUGCCUUUAAAUUAUUUAAUUAUCUUUAUUUAUUGUUUUGUUUUCUUAUCAUUAACUCUAACUUUAGAAUUGUUAAUUAGCUUAAUUAAAUUCCCCAAAAGAUGAGUUAUUCUUUGUGUUGGUUUAAUUUUAAUACAUUUUUUUUGUGUAUUUAUUUUAUUAAUCUCAAAAUUUUAUAUUUUCAAUUAAGUUAAACCUUUUGUUCUUUAAAAGAGAGGUUCUUUAAUGCUUUUCACUUGAUCACAUUUUAUUCAUUUUAAAAUUAUUUUUAAGUUAAAGUAUUUUUUCUCAAAUAAAAUUUUAAAAAAUGUUAGUCCAAACCUUUUUUCAAUUAAUAAAAAAAAAAUAUAAAUACUUACUUAGUCAUUUUCUCAAAAGGUUAGUCAAAACUUUAUUUCUUCAAUUAAUUAAAAAAUGAUUUUUCGUUCUUUAAUGUAUUAAAUUGAUUUAAAUUAUUAUUUCAAAAAUGAAUUAAAUAAAUUCUAAUUAAUCUACUUUUAUUAAUAUUCUAAUCACUUAUAUUUUGAGUCAAAUGUUUCAUUUUUGGGUCCCUUUCUCUAAAAAAUAAAAAAAUGUGUCAUUUAUUUAACUAUUUUUUCUCAAGUUAACCAAAUAUCGUACAUAUUAUUCUUAAGUUAAAUCAUUUUUCUAAAAAAUAGUCAAAAUAUAUUUUAGUCAAGUCGCAGGUCAACCGCAUGUUAGCGGACACUUCGAAUGCUUAAAUCCUUAUCGAAGUGUAAAUUGAACCCCGAACCCUCUUUGAUAUUUUCAAGUGAUUUUUUCUGUGUAAAUCUUUAAAAAUUAUAAGUUUUCUUAAUUUCUUUAAAAAAUUAAGUGGUGACUCUUUUCUAAGUAUUUUUCUCAAAUUGUUUUAUACUUAGAACAUUUCAAAAACGUGAUUUUUCUAAAGAUAGAAAAAUUACAACACAACAGGCCAUACCAUUGGCCGAGGUUUCUAUCACAGUUGGAGACUGUGCACCAACCAAUUGUACUUUUUACAGCGUGGCAUUUGUGUGUACAUUGACACAAGGAUCAUGUCCCUUUACAAGGUCUCAUGGUUUGUCAAAUCAUCAAAACUGCAAAUAACACCGUUUUUAGAUUAAGUUAAAGCAUAUAGUAAGUGAUGUGACUAUUCUUUUUAGCCAAAAAUUCUUACUCUCUAACUCUGUGUUUCAUUUUAUAUGACAUCUUUUUUUUAAAAUCAAUUUCCAAAAAAAUAUCAUCUUAUUAUAACAAAAAAAAAAAAAAAUUAACUUUAAAAGUUUCUUUUUUUAUCUUUGCCUUAAUGAAAUCAUUUUCAGUUACACAAAUAUUUAAGAAUUGUUUAGACCACAAAUUUCAAAAUAAAAAAAUUGUAGAAAAACGUGUCAAAAAACAAGGGGUGCUAUAUAAGAUAUGCAUUCUCCCCAUAUCUCUUAUCUAUCUAAUAUAUAAUAUACUACUAUAUAAUAUAAUAAUCAUUUCAUCUCCGCGAAUCUCUUGAUCUAUCUGAUAUAGGUAAUCAUUUCAUCUCGCGAGUAAUAUUCAUCUAUUUCUCUGGCGAUAUCCACUUGUAAGUUCUUCUUACUUAAUUAUUAUUGUCUUGCUCUAGAUCUCUUCAUCUCACUUUAGGGGUUUGUAAAUUUAAUUUUCAAUUUCAACUCGUUUUAAAACUUUUUAUGUACAUUUACUCGAUUGAACUAGGUAGAAGAUUGAAAUGGAUGAGAGAAAAGCUGGUAUUAAGGGACUAGUUGACUCUGUAAUAGUUGCUGAGGAGUUGAAUAUGUGUAAGUCAACUCUACAGGUUCCAGUAGUGGAUCUAAGUGGCAUAGAAGUUGAAGAUGGGCGUAAGAAGAUUGUUGAUGAAAUAAGGGAAGCAUCUGAGAAAUGGGGAAUUUUCCAAGUGAUAAAUCAUGGGAUUCCUUCAAGUGUUUUGGAAGGAAUAAUUGAUGGGACUCGUAAAUUUCAUGAACAAGAUGUUGAAGUGAAGAAUCAGUACUACACGUCUGAUCCAACAGCAAGACGAGUUAGAUAUGAGAGCAAUCUUCAUCUGUACAAAACAAAAGGAAAGACAGCAAACUCGAAAGAUUCAUUACACAUCCCGUGGCAAGAUUCUGGUGACAAUGAACCUGAAGAAAUACCACCAGUUUGCAGGUAACUCUGUAUCUGUCCUGUUUGCUGUGUGUGUGUUGUAUAUAUUGAAGUUUUUGCAUUAAAUCUAACCUCUCAUCUUUUCCUAAUAUCCAGAAAACCAUCCGUUGAGUACAUAAAUCAUGUCAUAAAACUUCAACACAUUCUUCUUGGCUUACUAUCAGAAGCUCUCGGGCUAAAUCCAAACCACUUGAAAGCUAUCGGAUGUGACAAAGGACCAGGGUUGGUAUGCAAUUACUACCCGGCAUGCCCACUGCCAGAGCUAACUCUUGGUAAGCAUACAGAUCCUGUUUUCCUUACCAUUCUGCUUCAAGAUCAGAAUGGUGGGCUCCAAGUCAUGUGUGAUAACCAAUGGGCCGAUGUUACACCGAUUGAACAUGGUUUAGUUGUUAACAGAGGCGAAUCCAGGAUUUUAAGAAAACGGGUGCACCAUUGCUUUAAAAAUAAUAUCAAAAAAAUUAUAAUAACAAUAACUAAGCGAGCAAUACAUAAAAAUUACAUUACCACAAAAAAUAUCAUCAGUUUACAAUUGUACUCGACGAGACUUCAUAUUUUGAAAAUGAUCUAUAAUAGCAUCAUUACUUACAUUUUCAAAUAUCUUCCGCUCUAUCUUACAAACUAAACAUCCAUUCAAAAAUUCUUCACCAAUGCUAUUCAACUUAGUCACAAAUUUAACUAGCAAAUUUAAAAUAAAUAAGAGAAUCGCAUAUCUUUCACAAUAAAAAAUAAGGGAAUCACACCCUUGCAAGUUCAAAUAAAAUAGAGGAAUCACAAUCCUUGCAAAUCUAACUAAAAUAGAGGAAUCACACCCCUUUCACAUUUAACAAUAAGAAAAUCACACAUUCAUAAUAAAAAGAGGACUUAUGCCUCUUUUGCAUUCGAAAUCACAUAUUCAUAGAAAGAAGAGGAAUCACACCCCUUUCACAUUUAACAAUAAGAAAAUCACACAUUCAUAAUAAAAAGAGGACUUAUGCCUCUUUUGCAUUCGAAAUCACAUAUUCAUAGAAAGAAGAGGAAUCACACCCCUUUCACAUUUAACAAUAAGAAAAUCACACAUUCAUAAUAAAAAGAGGACUUAUGCCUCUUUUGCAUUCGAAAUCACAUAUUCAUAGAAAGAAGAGGAAUCACACCCCUUUCACAUUUAAAAAAAUAAGGGAAUCACACCCCUUUCACAUUAAAAAAAAAGGAAUCACACCCUUCAAAAUUGAUAAUAUAAUAUGAAACACAUUCCUUACAAGUUACAUCCGCAAAAUAUGUAAGUUUGAGAUAAUCAAUUCUUUAGCUAUUGAUGAUUUCCUAUUAUAAGUAAUGACAAGAUUUUUUUAUAUGAAAACCCUAAAAUUAAAGUGAUAUAUACAUAUAUAUAUAAAAUUGUUAGGUACCUCUGAGUAUGAGUUUGAGCGAGUAGUAACUUCUCCCGUCUAGGAAAAGUAUUUUCUAUUAUGUUGUGAGUAUUGUAAGUAAAUAUGGUGUGUAUGUAAAAAUUAUAAUAUGAAAUAAACAGUUUGUUUUAUACCUCUCUUCUUAAAACUCCAUUUAUAGUCAUAAGUGAAGGUUGCGAUCUUCAGCUUUAAGGAGGAACAGUAACGAAGUAGCCAAGAGACUGAGGUCGUUAGGGCGAAACACUGUUCAUGGCCUGAAGGGAGAACUACUGCGGUAGUGAUAAAGACUAUUCAUCGACAUAAGAGAAGGAAGGUAUACACGCGAACUUUUAUUACAUAUUAUGAAUUCUUACUAACAUACUAUAUAUGCUUAUAUUUUACUUAGACAUAAGAAAAAAUAUUUAGUACCUAUAGGGAAUUAAAAAUAUUGAAUAUUUCAUGUUUAAUAUCAAUUAUGCUAUUUGCAUAUCAUGCCGAAAGGUAAAUAAUGCUAUAUAUCAUGAUAGAACUAUAUCCAUGCUAUUUGCAUAUCAGAUCUUAAAUUCAUGUUAAAAUGAAAAAUAUUCAACAAUCUUUACAUAGCGUAAGAAAAAGAGCUUGGAAGUAUAAAAAAGCUUUAUUUCAUAUGGAUAGAGCAAUUUCUGAAAUGGAACAAGUAUACAUGCAUACUAGUCAUCACUAUGAUGCAUUAAUAUUUUCAAUACAUGAAAUGAAGAUGUAUAGAAUACAAGAAUAUUUUGAGUAUAAAAAUGCAUUAUCUAUCUUAAAAAAUUAUACAAUAUUUACUGCAUAAACAGUAAUAAAAAUUCCGCAACCCUGUUUUAAAACAGCCCGAAAUAUUGGUAUCAGAGCCAAGAGAUAUAAUCUAAGUAUGGACACAGACUUUACAACUAUAAAACCAAUUUGGUAUAUAGAUGUAGAUAUACUUGUAACAAUUUUACAAGCAAUAAAAGAUUUAGAUAAGGAUCUAAAAAGAAAAAUAAUAAGAAUAAUAACCUUAAGAAAUAAAAAACAAGAAGAAAGAUAUAAUAUAAUAAAUUAUAAUUUCUUUGAUACCUCUGACUAUUACUUUUCAGAAUAAGAUGAGUUUAAGAGAAAUCUCAGAUUUACUAAAAGAUCUUGUUGAAAGUAAUAAACAAUUAACCUUACGGUUAAAAAUGAUAGAAAUUAAAAUCAAUUAUAUCAAAGAAAAUCUUCCAGGAAGAAUUACAAAAAUAAUAGAAAAAACAGAACAAUUUGACAAAAAGGUAAGUCAAAAAUAUAUUAAAGAAUUAUUAUCAAAAAAAUUAGCAAGUGGAAAUACUUAUCAAAAAGGAAGUAUGGAUGAAAUAUUAAUCCAAAGAUUCCUAGAAAAACAAAAAAUAGAAGAAGAAAAUUUUCCAGAAAUAACCGAAAAUAAUUCCGAAUCAAAAGAACAAAAGGAUGAAUGAACUAGAUGAACUAGUUUAUGCAAUGGAAGACUUAAGUCUUUCAGAAUUAAAAGUAUUCAUAAAUAAAGGGGAAACAGGUGGACUCCAAGGAAAAUUUGAAGCAUCUACUUCAAUGAAAGAAGAAUGGCAAGAGCCAGAAAAAGAUGAAAAGAACUUUGCAAAUAAAGCAAAGAAAGAAAACGAUUUCAUAAAACAUUAUCAUAACAAUGAUAAAACAAGAUUUAUGCCUAAUAGACUCCCAACUGGAGAUAUUUGAGCCCAAUUUCUAGAUCUCGAAUGUAAAAGAGAUCCAGAAGAUAGCCUAGACCUAUGGUCUCAAAACAUGCUCCUUUAUUUCCUUUUAGGAAAAGGAAAUUAUACAGAUGAAGAAAAAUAUAUCAUUAUGAUAAAUACAUUCAUGGGAAAAGUACAUGACUGGUUUUCAGGAUUAACUGAAGAUGCAGAAAAAAUAAUUAAAAAUGAUACCUUAGAAGGACUAAAAAGUUCGGUCCAAGAAGGUAUAAUAAAUUUAAAGCUAUAUAUCGCUAAUGAAUUCUUUGGAGGAAAAGGAAAUGAAAGAGACAAUAAAGAGUUUGCAAGAACUAUUGCAAAAGAACAAUUAGAAAAAUUACAAAUUUGUAAAAUGAGUUAUAUUCAAGAAUACACUUGUGAAUUCGAAGAAUAUUACUACAAAAUAUUUGAUAGCGGUAAGGAAAUGAUACCUUAUCUAGAAAAAUACUAUCAAAAAUUACCAGGCUUCUGGGCAAAAUACUUCAGAGAAGAAUACGAAAAGGAAGAGAAAAAAGGGGAUACUCUUGGUCAAAGAAUUAGUUUCUUAAAAAAUAGACUUAGUCAAUUAUGUAUGUCUCAUAACAUACAAAGAAAGGCUAAAAGGAUUAAUACACAGAUCUAUUGUAAUGAUACAAAGGCAUCUACUAAAUGGGGAUGUGAUGAAAAACCAUACAAAAAAAGAAAACAACUCAAAAAGGGUUUAAUAAAAAGAAAAAACUUCUCUAAACAGAAGUAUAUACCUAGAAAAAAUACUAUAAAAAGAAAAGAGAAUUUUCUAAAAAACCCACUGAUAAAUGCAAAUGCUACAAUUGUGGUGAAGAAGGUCACAAAAGCUACGAGUGUAAUAAAAGGAGAGUAAAAAUCUAAAAAAUUGAUAGAAUAGAUAUUGAUUCAGAUCUUGAAUCAAUAAAAUCUAUGGAAAGUGAAGAAAUUUUCGAAGAAGUCUAUGAAGAAUAUUCUAGCAGUUCAGAAGAAUCUGACUAAAUGAAUAAAGAAAUUCAAGAAAAGGAAUCUGCUUAAAUAUUAGAAACAGAAGAAGACCAUCGAGGUUAUGCUUUAAAAGCAACUUUUGAUGGAGAAACAUUCAGAAAAAUCCAAGGAUUAAAAUUAAAUCUUAAAGUAGAAGAUAAUCUACUAAGCAGAAUGCAAAGAAUGUUCGCAAGAGAUAAAAUCUCCUAUCAUGAAUAUCAAGAAAUUGAAAAGGUAAUAGAAAUUACCAAAACGACAGGAAAACAUAAACUAAACCUAUUAACAAAACCUAUGAUAGAUCAAAUCCUCAGGAAAAUUCCUGAAAGAAAAAGAAAGAAAAUGAAUUAUGUUAAUUUAGGAGGAAUCCAAAUAUUAGUCAAAUCGACUUUUAAAGAAGGAAUCAAUUGUCCGAUAGUAAUAAAUCUAUCAGAUGAAAAGAUUCAUUAAUGCAAGAGAAGGAAAUCUUGGUAUAGUAGAGGGAAACCUAGCCUAUACAAAGCUCCUUUUUACCUAUUACCCAAAAUAUUGUAUUUCACUAAAAGAUGCUGAUUUUAAUGACGCAUUAAGCUUACAUUUUCAGAUCAAAAGAAAUGAUCUAUUUAAACCAGGUAAUCAUAUAAUGAGCAUAUAUUACCAAGCAUUGUACACCGUUACAAAUUCAAACUAUGGUAAAAUAUACAAAAAUAAAGGAAUGAUUGAAAUAGAUCAAGAAUGUGCAGGAAUUGCAAGAAUAGUUGAAGCAGAAAUUCAACAAGCACUAAUUCCAGAUGAAUAUGAAAUUCAAUUUAGAAAAACACAAGAAAUAGGGGAAACUAGUAAUCCUAGACUCUCAAUAGAAUAUGGAAGAAAUUCAAUUAGAAAAAGUAUAUCUAAUAGAUAUCCUCUAAAAAUUGAAACUCCAAAUAUAACAAAAGUAAAAGGAAUAAUCUUCAAUGGAACAGAAUGGAGACAUCAAGAAAUCUUAAUACAAACAGGAGCAACUGCUAAUCAUGUAAAAGGUAUCCUAAUAGAAGGAAUAACAAUCUAUGAAGGAGAACACUAUACAUAUAAAACCUUUGAAGGAAAUAAUUUUAGUUGUAAAAACAUGGUAGAUUUACCUAUACAACUAGAUACUAUAAGGAUAACAGUUCCUUGUUAUAUUACAAAUCACGAUGGUGAUCACGAAUUAAUUUUAGGAAAUCUAUUCCUAAAUAAACUUGAAGAUUAUAGCAUUGGGAAAAAAGGAAUAGAAAUGCUAUACAAAGGUGAAACUUGUUUCAUACCAAAGGUAAAUGCCUAAAGAAACAACUUUCAAAGUAUCUGUAUUCAUAGAAAUAACAUCCUAUGAUACAAAAUUAACAACAUGUUGUCAGAUAGACAAUGGAUCUGAAGCAAGUUCAGCAAAAUCUUUUUUAAUAAAAGAUUGGGACAUAAACAAAAAUAAUAUCUCUAUGAUUGGAAUCACAGGAGAUAAAGAAAAACUAAACAAAUCAAAAGAAAAGGUAGAAAUAAUUUUAGGAUAAAAAAUUGUUUCUAUAAAAAAAUUAUUUGCUUAUGAUAAACUAGAAACAGAUUUAUUAUUAGGAAAUGAUUUUUUACAACAAUUUCAAGACUAUCAUCAAACAUUAUAUAUGAUAACUCUAAAAACCCCUUGUGGACAUUUCAUCAAAGUCCCAAGAAAACAAAAUCCUUAUAAUCUUGAAAAAGAUAAUGGAAAUUACAAAAGAAAAUAUUUAGAAAAUCUAAGAAAGAUUACUUGUAAAUGUCUUAAUCUAGAAAAGAUUAAGGAAAAUCUACAAAAAUCUUAUGGAGAAAAUCCAUUAGAAAAAUGGGAACAAAACCAUGAAAGGGCAAUUUUAACUUUAAAAGACCCCAGUAUUAUCAUUAGAGUUAAACCUAUGCUCUACAAUGAAGACGAUAAAAUUGAAUUUAAAAUUCAAAUUAAAGAAUUACUCAACUUAAAAUUAAUAAGAAUGAGUAAAAGUCCUCAUAGUAGCCCAGCAUUUAUGGUAAGAAAUCAUGCCUGAAAUCAAAAGAGGAAAAGCUCGCAUGGUAAUAAACUAUAAAGAGCUGAACAAAAAUUGCAUAUUUGAUGGAUACUUUAUCCCAAAUAAAAAUAAUCUAAUUAACCUUGCAAAAGGAAAAACAUAUUUUUCAAAAUUCGACUGCAAAAGUGGAUUUUGGCAGAUAAAAUUAGCAGAAAACUCAAUACAGUUAACUGCUUUCAGCACUCCUAAUGAACAUUAUGAGUGGUUAGUCAUGCCUUUUGGACUAAAAAAUGCACCACAAAUAUUCCAAAGAAAAAUGGAUAAAAUAUUCUCUGAAAAAGAAUUUCUAAUAGUCUAUAUAGAUGACAUACUAAUAUGUUCAAAAACAUAUGAAGAACAUUUAAAACAUCUGAAAGAAUUUUCAGAAAUUUGCUUAAAAAAUGGAAUUGUGUUAAGUCAGAAAAAAGCUGACAUUAAUAAAAAUGAAAUAGGGUUCUUAGGAAUGAUUAUUUCAAAAAAUGGAAUUGAACUCCAAUCACACAUUUCAAAAGAGAUUGUAGAAUUUCCUGACAAAUUAACAACAAAACAAGAGAUUCAAAGAUUUCUAGGUUGUUUAAAUUAUGCAGGAGAAUUCAUUCCGGAUUUAGCUAAAAAACGGAAUAUACUACAAAAGUUAUUAAGGAAGUCCAAUAGAUUAGGAUGGACUGAAGAGCACACCCAGUGUGUAAAAAGCCUAAAAGAAGAAUGUGGUAAAUUGCCAAAACUUAGGCUACCAGAAGACAGUGAUAAUCUUGUCCUACAAACAGAUGCGUCUGACUAUCAUUGGGGAGCAUUAUUACAAACCGAUUUAAAUGAAAUAUGCAGGUACACUAGUGGUACAUUCAAUGAUGCAGAAACAAGGUAUUCUACAAAUGAAAAAGAAUUGCUAGCCAUUGUUAGAGGAAUUAGAAAAUUUUCUGCUUUUCUUCUACCAAAACAAUUUGUUAUUAGAUCUGAUAAUACUCAAGUAUCAGGACUGAUUUUUAACAAGCUUCCUUCUGAACCUCAAUACAGGAGAUUGCAUCGAUGGCAAGUACUAUUAUCUUUCUAUUCAUUUUCAAUAGAAUAUAUUAAAGGAAAUGACAAUUUUCUUGCAGAUUUCAUUUCUAGAAACGUGCAAUAUGGACAAUCAGACAAAAAUCCUGGUGAACAGGAUAUAUGAAAAAAUGAAGACAGUGGAUGAGUCCAUUGAUGAUAAAAGCCAAAAACUAUUCAAAAUCAGAGAUGAGCUAUCAAAGCUAUCUGAACAAUCUCGGAUGUUACAAUCUGAAAUAAAUCAGCUUAGUACUACUCAAGCUGAAAGCAUGAGAGAAUUUCUACUCUUAUGUGAACAUCUGGACACACGUCCAUUACAGAAUUCAAAUAUGAAAGGGAAUAUUAAUUCCAACAAAGUGGCAGGAGAUGUCCCACUAGCACCUAGUGCCAAAAACAUCUCGAUGGUAAGCACGAAUAUGCCAAUUUCCACAUCAAAAGAUGAGGAAAAAAGUCGAGCAAAUGAAGCAACAAGCUCAUCCUCAGCUACUGCUGAAAAAAUUAUAUCUGGAAAACCAGAGAGUAAAACUAAUCAAAGUCCUUCGGGAACAAAAGUUUUUUCUUCUUUUCAGGUUGGAAAACAACAUCCAAAAGAAGAAGAGUAUCUAUCUUUCACUAGAUACAUCUAUAAUCUUCCAGAAGAAAGCGGAGAAACUUAUGGUGUUUUAGGAACCACAAGCUUGUUUCCUAGAAUAUCAAUAUUUCCCAAUGGGAUACCGAAUUUUACGGCUCAAUUAUUCGAAUUUGGUUACUUGGAUCGAGUUUAUACUAAACCAGAUCUAAAGGAGUUGUCCAAAUUACCGUCCAAAUUGUUCGAGGCAAUAAAAAAUUUUGCUCAAGGCAAUGGAGUCUACUGCAGGUUUUUUAGCAUAUCUAUGGAAUGCCAGGAUCUGCAAGCAUAUUAUCCUACCCUCAACUAUAUUUCAGUUGAAAAAAUUAAAGAUUUUAACGUUAAGGCCACAGGAGUUGAUAAAAAGCUUCCUCACCUUAAUAAAAAAUGGAUUCAAACUAGAAGAGCGUUAGGAAUAAAAGCCCUAUACGCUAUUCUUACAAGACUUUAUAAAGAAGACUGUAGAGUCAUUGAUCAUAUAUAUAUAUAUGUAUAUAUGUAUAUUUAUUUAUUUAUUUAUCUUGUUAGUUUGUUUAUUAAAAAGAGAAAUCAUAAACUAAAAUGACCUUAAACUUUGACAAUGAUGAUUUCUCUAAAUUCUUGACUUGAAGUUGGAGACUUGAAGCUUCUUCUUUGUGUGGAAAAUAGAAAACAAAUUUGAAGAGGGAAAAAAAUAUUGUUGGAACUUGGAACUUGAAAAGUGUGUGGGAAGGAAACUUUUGAAGUCUUUUGACUUUUAAACUUUCAGAAUUUAGCUUUUUUCUUUCUUUUUUAAAUGAAAAAUGUGUUUUUAGUUAAUAAAAUAAAUUGAAGCGAAUUGGGGCUGCCUGGGAUCAAACCUGCGACCUGUGAGUUGAAAUCUUGCAGUGGUACCAGUGAACCAUCCAGCCAUUUUGAGAACGGGUUCAACUAAGUUUUAAUUUAAUAUAUUCUUUAAUAAUUAUAGAAGUAAUAUAUUGAGUUUGUCGGAUGACCACGGGUUCGGGUGACCCAAAAUUAGUACAUAAAUUCGCCCCUGGUUGUUAAUAUUGGUGACCUCCUUCAGGUAAUUUGCAACAAAACACAACUUUUUUUAUUUCAUUUUAUCACAAACUGUUACUCAAUCUGAUUUUGUAACAGAUCCUAUCAAAUGACAAGUUUGUAAGUGCAAUUCAUAGAGUUGUAGCGAAAAAUGUAGGACCAAGGAUUUCAGCGGCAACCUUCUUCACUGGAGGUUCUACACCUCCGAAGAUGCAUGGUCCAAUCAAAGAGCUCAUAUCAGAAGAAAAUCCCCCGCUAUAUAAAGAAUUUCAAAUACCUGAUUAUCUCACUAAGUUUUUCUCCAAGCCUCUUGAUAAGACUGGUCUUGAUCUUUUCAGACUCUGAAGACAGACGUUGCCUAGCACCAGCAAAAACCAUCAGAAAAGACUAUCAUCAUUCAGUUGUAGAUCAAAAUUUGCGAUUCGUACUACAAUAAUGUUGUCUAACAAUGUCUUUCAUAUUCUGUUGUUUAAUGUUGAAUAACUUUCUAUGGAAAUAAUCCAUAAUUUAAUGACCAUCUCAAAUUCGAGGACUUCUGUAAUUUAGCUUCAAGUAGUUGCGCAAUUAUGGGCUAAUUGAAUUAUAUAUGUUUUUUUCAUUUCAUCUUCAUAAUCAUGUUGGAUAAUACUAUUCAUUUUUCUGAUAAAGUUAACCAUUCCGUAAGUGAUGUGACACCUUUUUUUAGCCAAAAAUUCAAAUUCUUCGUUUUAUUUUAUAUUACACUUUUUUUUGUUUGUUCCGAAAAAGAUUAUCACUUUAUUAUAAUUAAAACUAAUUUAACUUUAAAAUUCCGCUAGCCUUAAUGAAAUAAUUUUCAGUCAUACAAAUAUUUAAGAAUUAUUUUAGACCACAAGUAUAAAAGUUUUGUUUUUUUUUUAUAAACACCGAGUCAAACUAAAGGAUGUCACAUAAAAUGGAAUGGAGAGAAUAUUCUUGUCUUUUUCCCGUUAUUUCUACUAAAGCCAAACAAAGGACGAUUAAUGACAUUUUAACCAUUUUCAUUAUUUAUAUUAGGGCAACUGUGUCAUAUUAUAACCUUGCUUUUUUUUUAAUCCAUUCAUCUCCACAUAUUUCUUAUCUAUCUAAUUAAUAAAAAUAAAAAUCAUAUCCUAUAAAAAUUAUAUCUUCAGAAUAGCAGUUUAUCUUCAUUAGAGGUCACUGCCUCAGUAUAGCAAUUUAUCUUCAUUUCUUAUUGAUCAUAUUUGGAUACGUGUUGCCAGUGGCGCAUCUGGAGUAUAUAUUAAGAAAUUCCUAGAGAUGUUAUGGUCACCCAGUCCUCCCUCAAGUAGUGAUACUACAUUAUGAAAUCAUUAUGAAAAAAUUGAAUUGAUAAUUUAACAUUAAUCAAAGAGGUUAAUUUUAAUAUAAUUAUUCAAUAUCAUAUUUAAGGGAUUUGUGUAUCUGAUUAAAUAUUUUAAAAUAUAUUGUAUAAAUAUUAAAAGUGGUAUUUUGUGUAAAUUUUUUAAAAUUAGAGGUAAAUUAAGUAUAUGUGGUAAUAAAGUAUGUCUAAUUAGAUAGUUUUUCCUUAUUUAAUAUCCAUAUAUGUGAUAAAGACUGUGGGCUCCGAACACCGACUGGGAAACCAAAAAAAAAAAGUCUACAAAAAUCAUCAACAGGCUGGAGAAAUCUUUGAUUGGACCAGAAAGUCUUUGAUUGGACCAUACAUCUUUGGAGGUCCUUGGCCCUACCUUAUUUGCUGUAACUCUAUGAAUUGCACUUACAAACUUGUUAUUUGAUAAGAUGUGUUACAAAAUGAGUAACAAUUUAUAAGAAAUGAUAACAAAAUGUAGAGAUGAGUAGCUUUUGUUGCCAACCUGAAGAAGGUCACCAAGAAGCUAAGCUCAUAUCAGAAGAAAAUUCCCCACUAUAUAAAGACUUUCAAGUAUUGAUUAUUUGUUUGAUAAAACUGGUCACCAAGCAGCAGCAAAAAGGGAUAAGUAUCAAUCAAAUAAUGUUAUCCCCUUCUAUCUUAUUGUAGAUGGAAUGGAGAGACUACUUUUUUCUUUAUUUAAAAUAAGUUAAUUUUGAACGGAUAUCAAAAUAAGUGAAGAAAAAUCAAAUAAAACAUAAAAAUAUUAAAAUUAAAGGACACUUUUAAAUUGUUUUUUUAAAAAAAAAAUACACAUGAUUUAUUAAAAAUAAUUAAAAGUGAAAAGAUAAUAAAUUAAUUAAAUAAAGUUUCAAGUGAAAAGAAAUUAAAAUAAAUAUUGAAUUAUUUAUGAGAGACUAUGUAUUUCUUGAAUUAUUUUGAAUUUGAG